This 9602-nucleotide long non-coding RNA is filed under the name Lactuca sativa (garden lettuce). RNAcentral's name for it is "long non-coding RNA (LSAT_LNC004403)". Lineage: Eukaryota; Viridiplantae; Streptophyta; Magnoliopsida; Asterales; Asteraceae. The record is from RNAcentral.
GGGGUGUUUAAGGAAAUUGCCUAUAAAAUGGCGAUUGAAUGGGUAUCCACUCUUACCCACCGCACUCUUGACUAGUGGAGGGUCGUUAGCCGAACGGGUAGGAUAGGACGAAACCUUCCAUUAUAAGUAUAAUGAAUUAUAAAAGUAACUAAAUGUUUUCAUAAAAUUCCCAAUCUUAGUUACUUAGGCAAAAGUGAAUUGAUGCAAUUCCAUGAAAUUACACUUUGUGCCCUUGCGAAGACGUUAGUGGAGCGUGUGUGGUUUACCGGCACACUAAAUGGUUCUAAGAAAAGGUAGCAAAGGGUGACUCAAUGUUUGUCAUAGUUCGGUGGAGCGUGUGUGGUUUACCGGCACAUCGAAUAGGUGACUGUAACAUGUGAGGGCACCAUGUAAGUUUGCAUGGUUAUUCACACCCGCUUUGUGAUCCUCGGCAUCCCAGUCACAAACUAGAGGGGCAUAUCGAGAUUUAAACAUGCCAUUGAAAUGUUCAAUGAAUCUCAAAGGAUCUAGGAGUUUUCAUAGAUUUAAAACUUAAAUUUCUUUUUCGUUUUUCAUGGUGGAAAUUAGUGAAUCGUCAUUCACUUACCUUCAAAUAUUCUGCAACUAGAUUACAACAUCCCUUUUCUAGGUUGUAGCGUAUUGUGUUGGGUCCUAGCCUUAAUAUCUCAUUUGGGUGAUUUAUUAAGGACUCAAUCUAUCAACUAACCUGAAUUUAUUUUUUCUCCUGUUUUGUAGAUGUCAAAGUACGACAACUAUGGUCUUCCCAAAUCCCGUGGAACAAGCAUUCCACAUGAAGAUGAUAUUCCACGAUUCGAUCGAGGAACAAGAAAUCAUGCUUCACUUCCUCCACCUCCUCCAAUUAUUCUCCCUAACCCACAAGAUCGAAGAAUUAAAAGGUUCAAUGUCACUAAAGCCCUAUUGGAAAUGAAACAUGAAGAUGGUAAACCCAUGUGUGCCCACGUUCUAGGAAUGAAAUCACACAUCGAUAGGUUGAUAAUGUUGGGUGCGUCAUUCCCUGAUAAGUUGGCUGUGAACUGGGUUCUACAAUCACUUCCUGAAUCAUAUAAUGAGUUCAAAGGUAAGUAUUAUAUGAUGGAUCAUGACGAGAACCUCAUUGACCUAACUUACCUGCUCAUUGCUGCUGAAUCAGAAAUGAUUUGGCAAAGAAAUGGAGCAUAUUUGUUAGGAAAGUCAACCAACCAUGCUUCCGAGGACGUUCUAGGAGAAUCGACNUCAUGUAUGUAGUAUGUUCUGUUUUGAAAACCCUGGCUACCACCAAUAUGUAUGUAGUAUGUUCUAUUUUGAAAACCCUGGCCACCAUCAGUAUGUAUGUAGGGGGUGUUUGGGGUAUCUUUUCAGAGGGCAAAAGAUCUUUUGGCAAAAGUUCCAAAAAGCUAGGUUUCCCUGACUUUUCCAAAAAGUCAGUUUUCCUUCUUUAAAAAAUCUAAAAGUAGCUUUUAAGGAGCUUUCCCCAAACAUCUUUUGUUUGAUAUCUUUUCCCAAAAGUUCUUUUACCCUCUCAAAAGAUAUCCCAAACACCCCGUAGUAUGAUAUGUUUUGUCUUGGAAAAUCCCUUAUUUUCCCUGGUAUACGAGUGUUUUUUACUUUAAUGAUUCCAUGAAUUAUGAGGUAUAAGUAUCAUACUUACGUUAUUAAACAACUGUUUAUAAGAGGUAUAUUAUUACGUAAAAGAGAGUCGUACGAUUGGCGAGUUUUCUGACCAUGCAUUAACUUGAUACGACAGGAACGAACGUCGGUAUCCUUUAUGACAUUUGUCACCCGUAGACCUGACGGUCCGACUGUAGCUAGCAGCCAGGUGCGGGGCAGUCAGUCCCGUAUAGAUCUAUACACAAAAGCCACACUUUCCCUCCAGGAAAUUUUGGUUCGUAAGGGUAGUCCUCCACUUAGCUGAUGUUUGAAAGUGUCCGAGGACAAAGUCCUCCACUUUACUAUGUUGUAUGUUGCCAAGGACGAAGUCCUUCCCUUUGUUAUUAAAGUGUAUGAGUACGUGUCUCCAGUUAAGUUUACGAAAUUAUGAGUAAUAAUAUAAGUGUUCUGUCUAUUCGUAUGAAAAUCCGAUGUAUAUUUAGUAGAAUAAAAAUAAUUAUACUAAAACAAUUAUUUACUGUUGUAUUCUUGUGGUAACGUAGGAUAUAAACUAAAUUUGUCAUAGUUUUUGUAUGCAACCAUGUAUGUGGUUUGUAACCGUAAAACUGGAAAUGAAAUCCCCAAACUAUACCUAUUAUAGUUUGGCUGUAAUGUUAUGUUCAUGAAAUGUUCAGAAACUAUGCAAUUGAAUGUAGAAAACAUCCCUCUUGCUCAGCAUGGUACAAAAGGGAUUAAGCAUUUGAAUACUUUAUGAAAUCCAUUGGUUUGAGUAAUUGCAUAAGUUUGACUUGUUGAAAACUUUUGUGUUUAGCUUGUAUUUCCCCCUGAAAAAUGUUUAAAAUCGUAAAAGCAUAGGGGUGUGAACUCACUGUUUAACAUAGGAUUCGGGUGUACGAUCGGUUACGAGUGUUGACUGUCAAUUGAUGUUUUGUAUGCAAGGGGAUCCUAUUAACAUAUAAUAACACAUAUAUGUAUUAUAUUAAGGUAUUCCAUUACAAAACAUGACGGGAAACCACCCUAAAGACAUGGAAAUGCUUGAACUAAGUGUCGGAACCAUAAAUGAUUGGACGAGGGAGGUGUAUGGCCACAAAAACAGGGGUUUUGGUGUGUGUGUGCGGUUGCACACAAGACUGUGCGGCCAUACAGUGGGUGUGUGUGGCCGUACACAGGAGUGUGCGGUCGUACACUCCUCAUUUAUGCUCCAAAAGUCAAUGUUUAGGUGUUUUAAGGAUCAAACCAAGUCUAACUAGAUGACAGGGGGCCAAACUCUCACUUUGGACGGUCUUAAAGGUGUGUACGACCACCUUAUGAUGGUGUGCGGCCGUACACCUUCAAGGAAUGAAUAACACGAUGAAUUUAGGCUUAGAUCAAGAUAUCUUACAUGAAUAUCAAGUUAGAUGAUCGAAUACUCAUGUUUUUGAAGCCUUUGGAGUGUUCUUAGAUGAAGGUUCUAAAGAGAGAAAGUAGAGUGUAGCAAAAGGGGAAAAGAGUGAAUGAAGGGGUCACCCUCUAUAUAUAGGGGUGAGUGUGCGGCUGAAGGGUGGGUGUGCGGCCGCAUACCCGUGUAUACGGCCGUACACACCUCCCAAGAGGGUGUAUGGCCGAAUUUUGUCCCUAUACAACUUGUUGACUCAUUCCUAAUCUCAUUCCCGGCUGUACCCAAACUUAGAACACUUAAACGAACCUUUAAACGAUGUUAAAAGGUAAUGGAAUCGAUUUUAAUAUUCAUAGGAUUGAUCAACCUUUACAGAAUAAAAGUUUCGGGUUGUCUCACAUUACUAGUUGAGUAAAACUCAUAAGCUAACUACAACUCGAAGAUCAUACAUAUAAAAAAACUAAGAUACAUAGUAAACGUACAACAACAAUAAUUAACUUAAAGGAAUUGCAAUGUGUACUUCUAUUUCUCCAUUGUUAUAUAAUCAUCCCUAAUUCUUACUUUUUCUUCAAGACGACCUUUUUCUAACCAAGAUCUAUCAUCUUUUCAUCAGUGUCAGCAAGCCAUUUUUUUCAUUUUGAUAGUCUUCUUAGUCUUUUUUUAUUGAUUCUUCAUGCUCUUUGAUUUUCUUUUUAUUAACUGGUAUCCGUUCUUUAGCCUCUUUGCACUCUGUCACAAUGACGUGACGACAUUUAGUGAGAGCCCAUGAUGAUUCUUUACCUUUUUUUAUUCUUCAUCCAAUUCUAAUUGUUUCAAAGUUUCAUCGGACAUAUAUGGCCCGUUCGAAGAGGGUGUAACAAAAGGGUUGAUCGGACCACUAUAGGAACAUUUAACUUCCUCGUACGAGCAAAUUUGGAAAUUUAAAGAUGAACUUAUAUUACAAUUCAGAAAAGAUCUAACUCUAUAGUAGGAAUGCAAUGAUUAUCUAUGUAAAUUUAUAAACCCUUCAACUCCACAGAGCAGUUUGUCAUUUCGCUAAGCUGUUUGUCAGUUCAAAGAGUUGUUUGUCAGUUCCACAGUCGUUUAUCUUAUUUAAUUAAUCAUUUAUUCUUCAAAAAAAAACUCACACCUAUAUUCUAAAAUGGCAUGUAAUGUACCAACUAUUUCUAAUGCAGCGCCAUCGUCUGAUGCUCCACGUCCAUGGACGACAAUAAAGUAGUUGAUGGUCCUAACAUGAUGUUAGACGAAUGUUUAUGAGGGUGUAACACCAAUAGCUCCCUCACAUUUCCUUGUAGGUGAUGAAUGGAUCCGCAUAACAUGUUUUUUCAACCAUGAGAUAGGAGAACGACAACACCAACUUAAAGAAGAUAUUGUUAGUAAGUGGAUGGAAUUAAAGGAAAAAAUCACAAAAAUAGGAAAUAUUAUUACGCAGAUGAUGAAGAACUUUUACAAUUUGUUAAAGAUCAUUACAUGAAUGAGCGUGAUAGAAGUGAGUUCAAAUAUGAGGAUGUUUUGGAUGUGGUUAGAAAUAACCAGAAUUUCAUGUAGACGGUUGUUUAAUGUGUAAUAUUUUUUUUAAUGUUUGCUACUGCUUUAUCUUAUUAUUUGUAAUGUUUUAUUUUUUCAUAUAUUUGUAAUGUUUGUGUUUUCCGUUUCCAUGUAUUUGUAAUGUUUGUGUUUUUUGUUUCCAUGUAUUUGUAAUGUUUUUAGUUUUUGUUCCAUGGAAUAAAAUAGAAAACAACUCAAGUUAUUUCGUAAAUGACGUAAUAAAAACCAAAUACAAAGCAGUACAUAUAAAUAAGUUGAUAAUAACCAAAUACAUCUAAAUAACCUAAUAAAACCCAAGUACAUACAAAUAACCUACUACAAACCUAAUAUGAAUUAAAAAUGUGGGAUAUCUUUUAUAAGAUUCUAAGGGGAUUCAUACUCGAAAUCCGACCCGUCGCUAAUGGAUUUGUAUUCCUCUUUCGCCACCUCCAAGAUCACUUCCUCAUUUUCAUUCAGCCAUGUCUCAUCAAUUUUGUUAUAAAUAUCAUUGAAUAACAAGAUUUUUGUUUUUACUUCAUACCAUUUUGAUAUGAUAUCAAUGGUGUUACAAUAGUUUUAUGCUGUGGUUUGAGGGUCCGCGUUGAAGGUAUAUAUUAAAUGGGUGGAUCUUUCAUAGUGAAGUUCUCGUAGACAUUAAUAUUUGCAUGACUUAGACGUAGGUUCUCCUCAGCGCUCCAUGCUCUGGAACCCAUUAUGACUGAAAAUAUGUGUUGGGUUUUAAAUGUAUUGUGUCAAAUAUAUGUGCUAGUAUAGUCUCUUUUACCAGUUUGGGCCUGUCCAUUCACGAUUUUUCUUUGCUAGGGUUAGACUAUUUAUAGUGUAUGCAUGUAUCAAUUAGGGUUAACGUUUUGGUCGCCCUACCUACCUCUCAUAGAGAUGUUCUUUCUUGAACUCUUCUAGAGCUAUUAUAAUCAAAGCAUUCGACACCUUUUUGAUCUUUAUUCUUGUCAUUCAAUUCUUGUUAUUUAUUAUAGAAUCUAUCGAUCUAUUUAUUGUUUUCACAAUUGGUAUCAGAGCAGGAGAUAGUGUAACUCAUAUGCUACUCUUCUGUUGAGUUCUAUUAGGGUUUGGUGUUAUACAUGGAUUUGUAAUUAUCUUCCCGGUCAUUUCUAUUGAUUGUAGAGUUCAGAUCUAGAUCUUUAGUUUUUACCCUAAACUCGAGUAUCAUUUUACACAUUUGAUUCUAUAUCCGUUUCCGUGAAUUCUAGACAUAAUACAGAACGAAGAUCUUAUACUCUUUGGUUCAAUCUCUCUAGCAAUAUUGGAUCCACAAUAAGGAUUCCAAUCCAAUUCCCGAAAUAUUAUGAAGUAUGGUUGUUGCACUUUGAAAUUAUGUUCUCAGUAUUGAAGAACAUGGUUCCACAAUUUUGCAAGCGAUGACGCAGGAGAUGUUCACGCACAUGGCGACCAAGAGAGUAAUUGCAACUCAGGCUGAUUACAAUGUGCUUCUUGUUGAACAUACUAAUGUUCCUUAGGAUGAGAAAGAUAAUCUAAUGUGAAACAUAAAGGGGAUGAGAAUUAUAAGGUUUGCUCUUCCUCCAGACACUUUUCGUCUUGUGAGUGCUUGUAAAUCUGUGAAAGAAAUAUAGGACAGAUUGAAGGAGCUUUAUUCAAGUGACAUUGAAUUGGAACAUUUUGUGCAAACUCUUCUUGUAGUGGUGUUAAUCAUGAUGUAUUAUGUGGAAUUGAUGUGAUCUAGUCAAUCAUUAUAGGAAUCAUGAACACAAGGAGUAAAUAAAUUUGGUUUAAGCUCUCAUUAGAUCUAUAAAGAAAAUACAAAGUGGGUCUUGUACAAUUAUCUCUCUAGUUUAACUCUCCAAAUGAACAUUACAUAAACGAGUGUCACUCACUUCCUAUUUAUAGGAAAGACAACUCGUUACACAAUACAAGAGGGUAAGCACAAAUUACAUCGAAGUGUAACUUUGCACCCUAACAUUCUCCCCCAUAAAGUUAGAAUUAGAUAUUUCGGCUUUAAUAUCAAACGAGCUCACGCGAUCAAGACCAACUCCACCAUGAAUUAAUACCAGUCUUCAAAUCCGCAAAUGAAUACCGGAGAAGCUUCGAAUACACACUCUUCAUUCUCCAAAUUUUUAUAAUAAAAAAGUCAUUAUAAAACCAAUUAAGGCUGAGAAGCACCCGAGGAAUAAUCUUCACAAAACUCCCCUUUGAUGUGUGCCAAAAAUGAAACCACAAAAAACUUGCACGGAAAAAUAAUCACGAAAAAGUCAUGAAAUUUUUCCAAAUUUAUGGAAAUUUUUUACUUUUGGGUGAGAGUUGCAAGAAUUUUGAAAAUCCGGGGUAAAAACUGCCACUUUCAGAAUUCUACAAGGUCUAAACUUGAAACUUCUUCACAUUCCUACAAAAUCUCGAAUUUAUACCCUAAUGUCAAAUAUGGGUAUAAACUCCCAAUCUCAACAAAAGUGUAAGCACUCGAAUUUGAAAUAUUUUACUUGUUGGAUUAGUGUCUAAGUCCAUAACUAUUUUGGUAUGUACUUGACCCGAUGGUGCAUGGUCCUUUUGGGUUGCCUUCACCAAAGCAACCUGAUAGGAUGAAUAAUGGAGAGAAAGGAUUAAAUAUGAUUUAUUAAUAUAUUAUAAGAACAAUAUAUUAAAGGAGAUAUCAUAUUGUAUAAUUAAUAUUAGUCAAGAAUUAAUAAGAAUUAAGUUUGUGGCUAAAAGAGAUUAAUUAAACUUAAGGGACUUGAACUGUCAAUUGUAUGAUAGUUGAAUAUUGAGCUAAUGGACUCCAUAAUUAAAGGGGUGGACGAAUUCUAUGGGGAAACCCAUUAGAAAUCGUCCAAGGCCUUUAAGGAAGGAGCCUAUGGGUUGCUUAAGGCUUAAGCAUCCAAAUUAGGGUUUCCUUGUUAGUUAACCCUAAUAGCCUCACUAUUUAAAGAACCCUUAUGCCCCAAAAACGUGGUGAACUUGUUGAUUAGGGUUUCCACACGUUUUGGGCAGCCUCCUUCUCUUCUCUUCUUCAUCCUCUUGCUCUUGGUGUUUGUGAACCAUUAGAGGAGUGACAUUUGUGACUCUAAGCUUUCUAAAGUCAUUACAAGGUGGAAUUGUGAUUGUUAUUGCUACAUAACAAUCAAGGUAAUAUCUUAAACCCAUUCUUAUGUUAAUAUGAUUACUUGUAUGCUAGAACUAGGGUUUAUAGUCUUGGAUGAAUUGCAUGUUCAAUAGAGAAACCUAGAUCCAAGCAUUAGGGUUUGUAUGAGCUCAUAGGAUGUUCUUAUGGCUAAAACCCAUCAGUGGUAUCAGAGCCUUCAUUGGUUUCUAUUGUAUUGAUGCCUUGUAUGUUUGUUCAAGUUGCAAAAUUCGAUUUUGGUGAGUCUGCCUGAUGAACUCGACGAGUCCCAUUGUGGACUUGGCGAGUAGGCCCCUACUCGGCGAGUCCAUAGGUGUACUCGGCGAGUUCGAGCGUCAGAAAGAGGGGAUUUUGGGAUUUCUUGUUGUUUUUCUCAUGGAUACUUGCCUUAUCUGUUUUAGAUUAUUAAAAUCCGAUUUUAUACAUAUUUAUGAGUAUAUCCUUGAUUAAACAAAAGAUAAUUACCAAUUGAUUAGAUAAUAACUUCCUUAUAUGAUAAAGUUUUAUUAUUUGUAUUAAUUGGGUAACUUACUUUGCAAGAAAUUGAAAUUAGGUCAAAUAUAGAUAAUGAUAAAAUAAAUUGUUUAAUUUAUAUUAUUUGUUAUUUGAUCCUUGUGUUAUGAAAAGUUUCAAUUUUUCCCCUUUAGGUUUUAUAGUUUAAAUUUGAACUCAAAAUUUUAGUUUUGAAAUUUAAAUAGUUGAAACCCUAAUGUUUUGAAAAGGUUUCAAAACUUGCCCUCAAGUUUUGGAAUUUAAAUUUUGAUUAAAAGUUUAAUUUUGAUGUAUAUUUAAAUUCUAAACCCUAAUGUUUUGAAAUGUUUCAAAACUUGCCCUCAAGUUUUGGAAUUUAAAAGUUGAUUAAAAGUUUAAUUUAGGAAUGUUAAAUUCUAAAACCCUAGUAUUGUUUUGAAAAGUUCAAAUCACACCCUUAUGGUUUUAUUAAUUAAUUAAGGUGUAUAAUUAAAAGAGGUUUAAUAAAUCCAUAAAAGUUUUGGUUUACAAUUUAAUUGAAUUAAAAGUAUAAUUGUUAAAUUUGACCACCUAGUAUUUUAAAAGUGUAAAAUACACCCUAUACUAUAUAUAACAUUAAAAGUCUAACAUUAUAUAUAUGUAUGAGUAAAAGUCAGUCUUACCGUUAGUAGGCCUCAUUCACGAAGCUGGUCUAUAAGGGGUGUUUAAGGAAAUUGCCUAUAAAAUGGCGAUUGAAUGGGUAUCCACUCUUACCCACCGCACUCUUGACUAGUGGAGGGUCGUUAGCCGAACGGGUAGGAUAGGACGAAACCUUCCAUUAUAAGUAUAAUGAAUUAUUAAAGUAACUAAAUGUUUUCAUAAAAUUCCCAAUCUUAGUUACUUAGGCAAAAGUGAAUUGAUGCAAUUCCAUGAAAUUACACUUUGUGCCCUUGCGAAGACGUUAGUGGAGCGUGUGUGGUUUACCGGCACACUAAAUGGUUCUAAGCAAAGGUAGCAAAGGGUGACUCAAUGUUUGUCAUAGUUCGGUGGAGCGUGUGUGGUUUACCGGCACAUCGAAUAGGUGACUGUAACAUGUGAGGGCACCAUGUAAGUUUGCAUGGUUAUUCACACCCGCUUUGUGAUCCUCGGCAUCCCAGUCACAAACUAGAGGGGCAUAUCGAGAUUUAAACAUGCCAUUGAAAUGUUCAAUGAAUCUCAAAGGAUCUAGGAGUUUUCAUAGAUUUAAAACUUAAAUUUCUUUUUCGUUUUUCAUGGUGGAAAUUAGUGAAUCGUCAUUCACUUACCUUCAAAUAUUCUGCAACUAGAUUACGACAUCCCUUUUCUAGGUUGUAGCGUAUUGUGUUGGGUCCUAGCCUUAAUAUCUCAUUUGGGUGAUUUAUUAAGGACUCAAUCUAUCAACUAACUUGAAUUUAUUUUUUCUCCCGUUUUGUAGAUGUCAAAGUACGACAACUAUGGUCUUCCCAAAUCCCGUGGAACAAGCAUUCCACAUGAAGAUGAUAUUCCACGAUUCGA